GAGUGGCGAACGGGUUAGUAACGCGUGGGAACAUACACAGCACAGGGGGAUAACCAUUGGAAACGAUGGCUAAUACCGCAUACGCCCUAUUGGGGAAAGAUUUAUCGGUGUUGGAUUGGCCCGCGUUAGAUUAGCUAGUUGGUGGGGUAAUGGCUCACCAAGGCGACGAUUUAUAGCUGGUUUGAGAGGAUGAUCAGCAACACUGGAACUGAGACACGGUCCAGACUCCUACGGGAGGCAGCAGUCGGGAAUAUUGUGCAAUGGGGGCAACCCUGACACAGCCAUGCCGCGUGAGUGAAGAAGGCCUUAGGGUUGUAAAGCUCUUUCAGAUGUGAGGAUGAUGACGAUAGCAUCAGAAGAAGCUCCGGCUAACUUCGUGCCAGCAGCCGCGGUAAUACGAAGGGAGCUAGCGUUGUUCGGAAUUACUGGGCGUAAAGGGCGUGUAGGCGGAUUAUCAAGUUAGGGGUGAAAUCCCGGGGCUCAACCUCGGCACUGCCUUUAUGACUGAUAAUCUAGAGUAUGUGAGGGGAUAAUGGAAUACCUAGUGUAGAGGUGAAAUUCGU
Molecule: ribosomal RNA, 563 nt
Filed under: uncultured bacterium
Lineage: Bacteria
Description: bacterial SSU rRNA
Rfam family: Bacterial small subunit ribosomal RNA
Source: RNAcentral